This 465-nucleotide ribosomal RNA is filed under the name uncultured bacterium. Its description in RNAcentral is "partial 16S ribosomal RNA". It matches the Rfam family "Bacterial small subunit ribosomal RNA", at positions 338 to 795 of the family's 1533-position model. The record is from RNAcentral.
CCUACGGGGGACAGCAGUAGGGAAUCUUCCACAAUGGGCGAAAGCCUGAUGGAGCAACGCCGCGUGGGUGAAGAAGGUCUUCGGAUCGUAAAACCCUGUUGUUAGAGAAGAAAGUGCGUGCGAGUAACUGUUCACGUUUCGACGGUAUCUAACCAGAAAGCCACGGCUAACUACGUGCCAGCAGCCGCGGUAAUCCGUAGGUGGCAAGCGUUAUCCGGAUUUAUUGGGCGUAAAGGGAACGCAGGCGGUCUUUUAAGUCUGAUGUGAAAGCCUUCGGCUUAACCGGAGUAGUGCAUUGGAAACUGGGAGACGUGAGUGCAGAAGAGGAGAGUGGAACUCCAUGUGUAGCGGUGAAAUGCGUAGAUAUAUGGAAGAACACCAGUGGCGAAAGCGGCUCUCUGGUCUGUAACUGACGCUGAGGUUCGAAAGCGUGGGUAGCAAACAGGAUUAGAUACCCCUGUAGUC